This 400-nucleotide ribosomal RNA is filed under the name uncultured bacterium. RNAcentral describes it as "bacterial SSU rRNA". It matches the Rfam family "Bacterial small subunit ribosomal RNA", at positions 356 to 773 of the family's 1533-position model. The record is from RNAcentral.
GGGGAAUAUUGCACAAUGGGGGAAACCCUGAUGCAGCGACGCCGCGUGAGUGAAGAAGUAUUUCGGUAUGUAAAGCUCUAUCAGCAGGGAAGAAAAUGACGGUACCUGACUAAGAAGCCCCGGCUAACUACGUGCCAGCAGCCGCGGUAAUACGUAGGGGGCAAGCGUUAUCCGGAUUUACUGGGUGUAAAGGGAGCGUAGGUGGUUCGGUAAGUCAGAUGUGAAAGCCCGGGGCUCAACCCCGGGAUUGCAUUUGAAACUAUCGAACUAGAGUGCAGGAGAGGUAAGUGGAAUUCCUAGUGUAGCGGUGAAAUGCGUAGAUAUUAGGAGGAACACCAGUGGCGAAGGCGGCUUACUGGACUGUAACUGACACUGAGGCUCGAAUGCGUGGGGAGCAAAC